Molecule: ribosomal RNA, 386 nt
Filed under: Providencia sp.
Lineage: Bacteria; Pseudomonadati; Pseudomonadota; Gammaproteobacteria; Enterobacterales; Morganellaceae
Description: bacterial SSU rRNA
Rfam family: Bacterial small subunit ribosomal RNA
Source: RNAcentral
AUUGAACGCUGGCGGCAGGCCUAACACAUGCAAGUCGAGCGGUAACAGGGGAAGCUUGCUUCUCGCUGACGAGCGGCGGACGGGUGAGUAAUGUAUGGGGAUCUGCCCGAUAGAGGGGGAUAACCACUGGAAACGGUGGCUAAUACCGCAUAAUCUCUUAGGAGCAAAGCAGGGGAACUUCGGUCCUUGCGCUAUCGGAUGAACCCAUAUGGGAUUAGCUAGUAGGUGGGGUAAUGGCUCACCUAGGCGACGAUCCCUAGCUGGUCUGAGAGGAUGAUCAGCCACACUGGGACUGAGACACGGCCCAGACUCCUACGGGAGGCAGCAGUGGGGAAUAUUGCACAAUGGGCGCAAGCCUGAUGCAGCCAUGCCGCGUGUAUGAAGAA